UUCUAUUAGAUAUUAUUAAUAGUAAAAUCUGCUCAAUGAAAUUUUUAAUAGCCGCAAUUCGUGCUAAGGUAGCAUAAUAACUUGUCUUCUAAUUAAAGACUAGAACAAACGAUUUAACUUUUAAAUUUAUUUCUUAAUUUUAUAAAUUUUAAUUUUUCUUAAAUGUUAAAAGACAUUUAUUUUAAAGAAAGACGAUAAGACCCUAUUGAAUUUAACUAUUGUUUAACUGGGGUAGUUAAUUAAUUAACACUUUAAUUUAAAUUCUAAACCUAAAGAUCUAAUUUAUUUAACCUUAUAAUCAAAUUACCAUAGGGAUAACAGCGCUAUUAUUUUCUAAAGAUCCUAUAUAAAAAAUAUAUUACGACCUCGAUGUUGAAUUAAUAAACCAAUACUAACGCAAUAGUUAUAUUGGAAGUCUGUUCGACUUUUAAAUUAUU
This 437-nucleotide ribosomal RNA is filed under the name Udubidae gen. 1 sp. 2 AH-2021a. Its description in RNAcentral is "partial large subunit ribosomal RNA". The record is from RNAcentral. Lineage: Eukaryota; Metazoa; Arthropoda; Arachnida; Araneae; Udubidae.